AGUGAACGCUGGCGGUAGGCCUAACACACGCAAGUCGAACGGCAGCACAGGAGAGCUUGCUCUCUGGGUGGCGAGUGGCGGACGGGUGAGGAAUACAUCGGAAUCUACUCUGUCGUGGGGGACAACGUAGGGAAACUUACGCUAAUACCGCAUACGACCUACGGGUGAAAGCAGGGGCUCUUCGGACCUUGCGCGAUUGAAUGAGCCGAUGUCGGAUUAGCUAGUUGGCGGGGUAAAGGCCCACCAAGGCGACGAUCCGUAGCUGGUCUGAGAGGAUGAUCAGCCACACUGGAACUGAGACACGGUCCAGACUCCUACGGGAGGCAGCAGUGGGGAAUAUUGGACAAUGGGCGCAAGCCUGAUCCAGCCAUACCGCGUGGGUGAAGAAGGCCUUCGGGUUGUAAAGCCCUUUUGUUGGGAAAGAAAUCCAGCUGGCUAAUACCCGGUUGGGAUGACGGUACCCAAAGAAUAAGCACCGGCUAACCUCGUGCCAGCCGCCGCCGUAA
RNAcentral lists this ribosomal RNA (506 nucleotides) under uncultured bacterium. RNAcentral's name for it is "partial 16S ribosomal RNA". It matches the Rfam family "Bacterial small subunit ribosomal RNA", at positions 29 to 523 of the family's 1533-position model. The record is from RNAcentral.